UCAAACUUGGUCAUUUAGAGGAAGUAAAAGUCGUAACAAGGUUUCCGUAGGUGAACCUGCGGAAGGAUCAUUAUUGAAUACUGCUCGAUGGGUUGUAGCUGGCUCCUUGGAGCAUGUGCACGCCUGUCUUGAUUCUAUUCAUCCACCUGUGCACCAUAUGUAGUCUCUGGGGGCUGAAUAUCGGCAGUUGACCUUAUCAGUUGAAAGACUGGACAAGAGGAUUGCGAGCACAAAAGUGCCGCUCUCUUCAGCAACAGGUCGUGACCUCCCUUGGAGUCUAUGUCAUUUUAUUUCACAAACCAUGUUGUAGAAUGUAAUCACUAGGCCUUUGUGUCUAUAUAACCUUAUACAACUUUCAGCAACGGAUCUCUUGGCUCUCGCAUCGAUGAAGAACGCAGC
RNAcentral lists this unclassified non-coding RNA (399 nucleotides) under uncultured fungus. Its description in RNAcentral is "partial contains small subunit ribosomal RNA, internal transcribed spacer 1, and 5.8S ribosomal RNA". The stretch from base 1 to 73 matches the Rfam family "Eukaryotic small subunit ribosomal RNA", at positions 1759 to 1831 of the family's 1831-position model. Lineage: Eukaryota; Fungi. The record is from RNAcentral.